UAAGAAUCCCCUUUCACUGUGAGUGUC
RNAcentral lists this non-coding RNA (27 nucleotides) under Mus musculus (house mouse). The record is from RNAcentral. Lineage: Eukaryota; Metazoa; Chordata; Mammalia; Rodentia; Muridae.